UUGCUCAGCCAAACUCCAUCGCCUUUGUUCAAGAACAAACCAUAAUUUCCGGUGAAUUCUUCGUCGAGCAAAAAUCCCGAAUUUUACAGUUCACAUGUAGCCGCCGAUCGGAGGCUUCAUCUCCUUGGAUUCAAUUUCGGUUGCAGAAAUUACUAACACUACUUGGGGACCCGUAACCGUUUUGUCAUAGACAUCCAUAGCCACACGAUCAUUUUUCUUAUUCUUCCUUCCGUUCUUCACCAUAGCUAUGCGAACAGGGAGACGUAAGGAUUUCUUCUAGAAUUGUAAUUGCAACGGAAAGGUUUAGAGUUUAAUCCUUUCUCUGCAAAUAAUUGGAUUAUAUUAUUUAGUUUGGUUAAUAAUUGUUGAUAAAUUGAUCCUUCAGUUAAUG
RNAcentral lists this long non-coding RNA (391 nucleotides) under Nicotiana benthamiana. Its description in RNAcentral is "long non-coding RNA (NBEN_LNC037599)". The record is from RNAcentral. Lineage: Eukaryota; Viridiplantae; Streptophyta; Magnoliopsida; Solanales; Solanaceae.